This 1896-nucleotide long non-coding RNA is filed under the name Piliocolobus tephrosceles (Ugandan red Colobus). RNAcentral's name for it is "lncRNA (ENSPTEG00000024538.1)". The record is from RNAcentral. Lineage: Eukaryota; Metazoa; Chordata; Mammalia; Primates; Cercopithecidae.
AUGACUAACAAUAUUUUAAUAAACGAACAAAAUGAUGUAAAAAACCAAACUUUAGAAAAAAAAUAUACAGAAAAUGAAAACAAUAUCCUACACAAUGAUGCUACAUAUGAUGUAACACAACAAAUUAAUAAUUGCAAAAAUAAUUACAAAAAAGCAUUUUAUACGUUAGUUGUUAGAGAUGGGAUAGUUGAUGAAACGUUAUCUGAUGACAUAACUAUUUUAAAAGCUUUGGACAAUGAAUUGAAAAAAAAAGAAAAUAAUGAAAAUAUUCAAAGUAAAACUUAUUCUAAUUUGGGACAUAAUGAUACAUUUAAUGAUGAUAACUCUAAUAGUGAUAAUAAAACGAGUACCAACAAUGUAGAUGAAGAAAAGAACAUAAAAAAAAGUAAAAUAUUUGUAGGUGGUUUUUUUAAUAUUGAAGACCCUGAAAUCGAAUAUUUAGUUAAUAAAGAAUUAUAUUUCAUACCAGAACAUUCAAAUUGGUAUAAAAAAAAUACUCAACCUUUUAUUAGAGGUCAGGUAGGUAAACAAUCACGAAAAUUUGAUAAUGAUUAUCCAGUAUAUGAUUACAGAAAAAGCGAUUUUGGUAUGGCUAAAUUUUCAGCGUUAAAUUUAGCCUCAAUUAAAGAUUGUGCAGUUGUUUAUUUAGAUAAAGAUAUCGAUUUAAGUGACAAAUAUAUUCAUAUUAUAUUUUUAUCAACGUCAAAAAACGAAGAAGAUAAUUUAAAAACAGAUACAACAAAAGAACCUAAUUAUACUGUUUAUGAAAAUGUAGCGACGCAAGAGCAUUUAAAGAGUACUAAAUUGUGUGUCCAUAGUGAUAUUGAAAAAAGUCUAGAAACGUGUAUUGACAAACAUGAUUCUAAACUUGAUUCUGAUGACAAAGAAAACAACAAUAACAACAGUAACACUUCAUCAACUUUACGUACCGUAAAAAAUAUAACAAAUUUAAAACCAAACGAACAAAAUACUAAUGAAGAAACACAAAAUACCAGCACCAAUUUAAACGAAAAGAAAAAGUCAAAUGACAAAAAAGAAACUAUAAAUACAUAUGAAAGAAAAGAAUUAACAAAUAACAUACACAAUCCAAUAACGAACCCACGAUUAGUUGUUUACAUAAAAGCUAAUAGUAAAAUAAAUAUAUACGAAUCACACAUAUCAUUAAAUAACAAUAAUGGUGGAUUAGUUAAUGCAUUUUCUAGAAUAAAAUUAGAGGAAAAAACAAAUGUUAAUCACAUAUUAUCACAAGAGUUAGGUAAAAAUGUAUGGUAUUUUCAUAAUGUUUCAGUACAAAAUGGAUUACAAGGAAAUUACAAAUUUGUUGAUGUACUUUUAGGUAGUUUGUCAUCAAGAGUAAAUUUACAAAUAGAAGGAGAAAAAGGAUGUAAACAAGAAAGUUAUGGAUUAUCUUUAUUAGAAAAUAAACAAAAUAUUAGUCAAUAUGAAAUGUUUCAUCAUGAACAUCCUUCUAUGGAAACAAACCAAUUGUUUAAAGCAUUAGUGUCAGACAAAGGACAUUCUAUUUGGAGAAGUAGAGGUAGAAUUGAACGCAAUGCAAUAAAUGCUAAAUUGAACACUUUAUGUAGGGCUGUUUUAUUAAACCAUGGUGCUAGUGCUAUUGCUAUUCCUACCCUUGAAAUUAUUCCUAGUGAUAUACAAAGUGCUAAUCAUGGAGCAACUAUUACUGAUUUAGAACAAGAACCAAUUUUUUCAUUGAUGACAAGAGGUAUAAAUGAAAAUAUUGCUAGAAAUAUUAUGAUGAAAGCAUUUGUUGAUGAAAUUUUAGUACAUAUACCUGAUGAAAAUCUUAAACAUAGAGUACAUCAAAAAGUUUUACAAUUUUCUUCAAAGUAUAAAAAAACAUCUUUUCAAAUUUUAAACAAAAAAAACGAAUGA